RNAcentral lists this ribosomal RNA (483 nucleotides) under uncultured bacterium. RNAcentral describes it as "partial 16S ribosomal RNA". It matches the Rfam family "Bacterial small subunit ribosomal RNA", at positions 28 to 507 of the family's 1533-position model. The record is from RNAcentral.
GACGAACGCUGGCGGCGUGCUUAACACAUGCAAGUCGAACGCUGAAGCUCAGCUUUUGUUGGGUGGAUGAGUGGCGAACGGGUGAGUAACACGUGAGUAACCUGCCCCCUUCUUUGCGAUAACGCCCGGAAACGGGUGCUAAUACUGGAUAUUCACUGGUCUUCGCAUGGGGGUUGGUGGAAAGGGUUUUUCUGGUGGGGGAUGGGCUCGCGGCCUAUCAGCUUGUUGGUGGGGUGAUGGCCUACCAAGGCUUUGACGGGUAGCCGGCCUGAGAGGGUGACCGGUCACAUUGGGACUGAGAUACGGCCCAGACUCCUACGGGAGGCAGCAGUGGGGAAUAUUGCACAAUGGGCGCAAGCCUGAUGCAGCGACGCCGCGUGAGGGAUGGAGGCCUUCGGGUUGUGAACCUCUUUCGCUCAUGGUCAAGCCGCAACAAUGGUUGUGGUGAGGGUAGUGGGUAAAGAAGCGCCGGCUAACUACGUG